This 438-nucleotide ribosomal RNA is filed under the name uncultured bacterium. RNAcentral's name for it is "bacterial SSU rRNA". It matches the Rfam family "Bacterial small subunit ribosomal RNA", at positions 8 to 447 of the family's 1533-position model. The record is from RNAcentral.
AGAGUUUGAUCCUGGCUCAGGACGAACGCUGGCGGCGUGCCUAACACAUGCAAGUCGAGCGAUGAAGCCCUUCGGGGCGGAUUAGCGGCGGACGGGUGAGUAACACGUGGGUAACCUACCUCAAAGAGGGGGAUAGCCUCCCGAAAGGGAGAUUAAUACCGCAUAACAUUAGUUUUUCGCAUGAAGAACUAAUUAAAGGAGUAAUCCGCUUUGAGAUGGACCCGCGGCGCAUUAGCUAGUUGGUGAGGUAACAGCUCACCAAGGCGACGAUGCGUAGCCGACCUGAGAGGGUGAUCGGCCACAUUGGAACUGAGAUACGGUCCAGACUCCUACGGGAGGCAGCAGUGGGGAAUAUUGCACAAUGGGCGAAAGCCUGAUGCAGCAACGCCGCGUGAGUGAUGAAGGCCUUCGGGUUGUAAAGCUCUGUCUUUGGGGACG